This is a long non-coding RNA of Cervus elaphus (red deer), 2052 nucleotides long. RefSeq lists it as uncharacterized. The record is from RefSeq and is a predicted model, not a curated record. Lineage: Eukaryota; Metazoa; Chordata; Mammalia; Artiodactyla; Cervidae. The transcript is spliced from 4 exons.
GCCCCCGGCUCAGCUAAGGAGUGUCAAGGGUCCUCUCCUCCAGAGUGCACGCGCCAGGAGCCUGGAGACGAGUCGCGCGGCAGGGCGAGUGGGAGGGAAGCUGCCAAUCGUUUGCUCCCUCCGAAGACACAGUCGUGUCGCCCCUGAAUAGACCCGGUUCUUCUUCCCUCUCAUCCCUGCGCUCACCGUGGGAUGGUACACCCUCACCACGGAUGACUGCAAGGACGGCCAAAGGAUGAGGAGGCAGACCGAGAGUGGAAGGCUCCCUACGCCUCAUCUCUCGCUUAAAUGUGGUGCUUUCAUGCCCACGUCCCCCUGCGCUGUCCCUGCCUGCACACCCUCUACAUUUGGACCACGUUGAAGCCCACCGUCCCGCUGGUCGAUUUUUAACCACUGGACCACCAGGGAAGUUUCCUGGCUUGCAAGAGUCUUCAUAAGAAAUUUGCAGAGUUAAAUCUCCUUUGGAGAUCACACAUCUGGUGACACUGUUCACUGAACACCGUAAACUAUCAUCUUGGGGUCACAUCCGGAAUCGUCAAGACAAGGUAAGAAUGUUCAGAGCUGGGACUCCUUUGUUCUUUUACUGUAAAGUCUCCACUUUACUAACUCAGAAGCAUAUGGACUGAGCUGCUUCUCCUGGUCUCUCUGACCAUUUCAUAACUGCUUGGGGAAUUAAAGCUACUAACCUAAUGUGCUGGUUUGUACACUUUCAGGGGACUUGCAGUCUAUGCUGUUCUUGUGUUUUUCUAACCAGACCCCAUUCCAAGUUUUACAGGACACUGCAGGUAGGAACACAUGAGGGAGCUAGCUGGACCUCUAGCUGCAGAGACAGCUCCCAGACUGGAAAUCACCAUACUGACCCAGAGACCCAGAGGCAAGUUCUUGUCAUGGCUAUGCCUCUGGACUGUGUGGUGGAGACAUUGAUGGUGAGCAUGAGAUUCCUGAGGACACAGAUUGGGGAACCCCAGAUUUGGGCAGACUGGAAACACAACAGGCUUCUUCCCCUGGUAGUGCCAGCUCUUAGUGGGCCAGAGAAAGCCCUCUGGUGCCUCUUGUUUCAAUUCCUUAGAUGGUUUUUUUGUACACUCUGCUGGACAGGAAUAGAAGGUUGACUUUGACACUCCAUGAACAUGAAAGAUUAAUUUUUCCUCACAGGUCAGCCCUCCAUAACCUCCUUUGUUAUUGCAUAGACUCAUGUGGCAACUUUCAGAAGGGACCUCUUGGGUUUUCUGUUCAUCCGUUUAUGACUUAUCACUUCUACUGUGGUCAGGAAUAUGUUCAAGAAUGUGUACCGGCACACAAAAGACGGAUGUUUCCUCUAGCCGUCUUAGCUUGGGAGACAUUCCGGAAGGCUACUCCGCCCCACCCACAUGGCACCAGAGAAAAAGGGGAAAUCAAGCCAAGGUUUUAAUGGUGAGGAACUGGACAUCAAUCUGGGAUGCCAUCAGGUCUACCCCUGGUGCGUCUCCACCCCACCUCAGUGGUAGAACUGGGAGGGAUGAUAGUGGACACCGGCAUCAGUAAGACAGGUUAGGGGAGGAAGCUUAGGUGGGAGACCUGUCUCCACCCCCAUCUAGAGCAGGGAGGGGUGCCUCCAGUAGAAAAAAGCCAUGGCACUGGGUGCGGCUCUUUCUGUGUUACAGAUGGGAGCUAGCAGUUCCAGAACCACCCUCUUUGAACUGUAUCUUGAAAAGAUGGAAUAAGUUUGAUCCUCAGACCCUAAAAAGUCCCUUAUAUACAGGCUUUCUUUGAUUUAAGAGAAGACUUCACCUCCCUAGAGACAAUCCCUGCUGGGACAUCUUAUCAGUCGGUCCCCACCCCUGUCAUCAGAGCCAGUUUGAACAAUCUUUGGUUUAAUUUUAGCUAUGAAACUAUGACUACAAAAAGGAGAGAUGACAUUUUUGACACUGAAUGGCCAUGAUAUUCUUUAGACUCUAGAGAAAACUGGUUAAAAUGAAAUCUUUUUGAAAUCACAAAACUGGUUCUUUUUGCACUUGCAAUUAGGAAAAAGUUGGCUUAUUAAAAUACUUUUAUUGGAGCUCCAACCCUGCU